This 404-nucleotide ribosomal RNA is filed under the name uncultured prokaryote. Its description in RNAcentral is "bacterial SSU rRNA". It matches the Rfam family "Bacterial small subunit ribosomal RNA", at positions 355 to 776 of the family's 1533-position model. The record is from RNAcentral. RNAcentral also lists the same sequence under 1 other name.
UGGGGGAUAUUGCACAAUGGGCGAAAGCCUGAUGCAGCGAUGCCGCGUGGAGGAAGAAGGUCUUCGGAUUGUAAACUCCUGUCUUUAGGGACGAUAAUGACGGUACCUAAGGAGGAAGCUCCGGCUUACUACGUGCCAGCAGCCGCGGUAAUACGUAGGGAGCGAGCGUUGUCCGGAAUUACUGGGUGUAAAGGGAGCGUAGGCGGGGCGGCCAGUCAGGUGUGAAAUUUAUGGGCUUUACCCAUAACCUGCAUUUGAAACUGUCGCUCUUGAGUGAAGAAGAGGUUGGCGGAAUUCCUAGUGUAGCGGUGAAAUGCGUAGAUAUUAGGAGGAACACCAGUGGCGAAGGCGGCCAACUGGGCUUUUACUGACGCUGAGGCUCGAAAGCGUGGGGAGCGAACAGG